This 1043-nucleotide ribosomal RNA is filed under the name Cephaleuros parasiticus. RNAcentral's name for it is "SSU rRNA". It matches the Rfam family "Eukaryotic small subunit ribosomal RNA", at positions 53 to 1112 of the family's 1831-position model. Lineage: Eukaryota; Viridiplantae; Chlorophyta; Ulvophyceae; Trentepohliales; Trentepohliaceae. The record is from RNAcentral.
GCAUGUCUAAGUAUAAGCUUUAUACUGUGAAACUGCGAAUGGCUCAUUAAAUCNNUUAUAGUUUAUUUGAUGGUGUUUUCUACUCGGAUAACCGUAGGAAAACUAGAGCUAAUACGUGCGUAAAUCCCGACUUCGGAAGGGACGUAUUUAUUAGAUAAGAGGCCGACCGGGCUUGUCCCGACCUUCGGUGAAUCAUGAUAACUUCACGAAUCGCAUGGUCUUGAACCGGCGAUGUUUCAUUCAAAUUUCUGCCCUAUCAACUUUCGACGGUAGGGUAGUGGCCUACCGUGGUGGUAACGGGUGACGGAGGAUUAGGGUUCGAUUUCGGAGAGGGAGCCUGAGAAACGGCUACCACAUCCAAGGAAGGCAGCAGGCGCGCAAAUUACCCAAAUCCCAACUCGGGGAGGUAGUGACAAGAAAUAACGAUGCUCCGGCCUUUGGUCGGGUAAUCGGAAUGAGAACAAUUUAAAUCCCUUAUCGAGGAUCAAUUGGAGGGCAAGUCUGGUGCCAGCAGCCGCGGUAAUUCCAGCUCCAAUAGCGUAUAUUUAAGUUGCUGCGGUUAAAAAGCUCGUAGUCGGAUUUCGGGUGGCGCCUACCGGUCCGCCUUUGGUGAGUACUGGUAGGUACCUCCUUUCUGCCGAGGACGGGGUUCUGGGCUUAGCUGUCUGGGUCCCGGAGUCGGCGAUGUCACUUUGAGUAAAUUAGGGUGUUCAAAGCAGGCUUAUGCUCUGUAUACACUAGCAUGGGAUGACACGAUAGGACUUCGGCUUAUCUUGUCGGUCUGUAGGUCGGAGUAAUGAUGAAGAGGGACAGUCGGGGGCAUUCGUAUUUCGUAGUCAGAGGUGAAAUUCUUGGAUUUACGGAAGACGAACUUCUGCGAAAGCAUUUGCCAAGGAUGUUUUCAUUGAUCAAGAACGAAAGUCGGGGGCUCGAAGACGAUUAGAUACCGUCGUAGUCUCGACCAUAAACGAUGCCGACUAGGGAUCGGAGGUGGUUUUUUUAUGACCUCUCCGGCACCUUACGAGAAAUCAAAGUUUCUGGGU